UAGUGGCGAGCGAACGCGGACCAGGCCAGUGGCAGUAUUUUAAGAACCGGAACCGUCUGGAAAGUCGGGCCAUAGUGGGUGAUAGCCCCGUACGGGUAGAAAGAGAUACUGUCCUCGAGUAAGGCGGGGCACGUGAAACCCUGUCUGAACAUGGGGGGACCAUCCUCCAAGCCUAAGUACUCCUUUGUGACCGAUAGUGAACCAGUACCGUGAGGGAAAGGUGAAAAGCACCCCGACGAGGGGAGUGAAAGAGACCUGAAACCGGAUGCCUACAAGCAGUCGGAGCCUCCUUGAGGGGUGACGGCGUACCUUUUGUAUAAUGGGUCAGCGAGUUAGUCUGUCGAGCAAGCUUAAGCCGUUAGGUGUAGGCGCAGCGAAAGCGAGUCUGAAUAGGGCGUCGAGUUCGGCGGAUUAGACCCGAAACCGGGUGAUCUAGCCAUGGGCAGGUUGAAGGUGCGGUAACACGCACUGGAGGACCGAACCCACGUCUGUUGAAAAAGACGGGGAUGACCUGUGGCUAGGGGUGAAAGGCCAAUCAAACUCGGAGAUAGCUGGUUCUCCGCGAAAGCUAUUUAGGUAGCGCGUCGCGUGUUGACCGCCGGGGGUAGAGCACUGGAUGGGCUAGGGGGGCGCGAGCCUUACCAAACCUAACCAAACUCCGAAUACCGGCGAGUUAAGCGCGGCAGACAGACCAUGGGUGCUAAGGUCCGUGGUCGAGAGGGAAACAGCCCAGACCUCCAGCUAAGGUCCCCAAGUGGUGGCUAAGUGGGAAAGGAUGUGGGAAGGCCAAGACAACCAGGAGGUUGGCUUAGAAGCAGCCACCCUUUAAAGAAAGCGUAAUAGCUCACUGGUCUAAACAAGCCGGCCUGCGCCGAAGAUGUACCGGGGCUCAAGCCACCCACCGAAGCUGAGGAUGCAUCGCAAGAUGCGUGGUAGCGGAGCGUUCCGUAGGCCUGUGAAGGGGUCCUGUAAGGGGUCCUGGAGGUAUCGGAAGUGAGAAUGCUGACAUGAGUAGCGACAAAGAGUGUGAGAAACACUCUCGCCGAAAGCCCAAGGGUUCCUGCGCAAGGCUAAUCCGCGCAGGGUCAGUCGGCCCCUAAGACGAGGGCGACAGCCGUAGUCGAUGGGAAUCAGGUUAAUAUUCCUGAACCUGGUGGACGUGACGACCGUGAGACGUUGUUCUCCCUUACUGGAUUGGGAGGGCGGCUGGAUCGGUCCGGGAAAGAGCGCCACCGCUAAGACCGUACCCCAAACCGACACAGGUGGGCUGGUAGAGGAUACCAAGGCGCUUGAGGGAACUAUGUUGAAGGAACUCGGCAAAAUCCCCCCGUAACUUCGGGAGAAGGGGGACCUCUCAUCGGGCAACCGGUGGGGGGUGGCACAGAGUAGGGGGUAGCGACUGUUUACUAAAAACACAGGGCUCUGCGAAGUCGCAAGACGACGUAUAGGGUCUGACGCCUGCCCGGUGCCGGAAGGUUAAAAGGAGAUGUGAGAGCGUCGAAUUGAAGCCCCGGUAAACGGCGGCCGUAACUAUAACGGUCCUAAGGUAGCGAAAUUCCUUGUCGGGUAAGUUCCGACCUGCACGAAUGGCGUAACGACUUCCCCACUGUCUCCAACGUCGGCUCAGCGAAAUUGAAGUCUCCGUGAAGAUGCGGAGUACCCGCGGUUAGACGGAAAGACCCCGUGCACCUUUACUACAGCUUCAGAGUGGUACUAGGGAAUAACUGUGUAGGAUAGGCGGGAGACUUUGAACCCCGGCCGCCAGGUCGGGUGGAGUCACCCUUGAAAUACCGCCCUUUUGUUCUCUGGUAUCUAACCGCGAUCCCUGAACCGGGAUCCGGGACCCUCUGUGGUGGGUAGUUUGACUGGGGCGGUCGCCUCCCAAAGAGUAACGGAGGCGCGCGAAGGUGGGCUCAGAGCGGUCGGAAAUCGCUCGACGAGUGCAAUGGCAUAAGCCCGCCUGACUGUGAGGCCGACAGGCCGAACAGAGACGAAAGUCGGUCAUAGU
This 2008-nucleotide ribosomal RNA is filed under the name Symbiodinium sp. clade D. RNAcentral's name for it is "partial Bacterial large subunit ribosomal RNA". It matches the Rfam family "Bacterial large subunit ribosomal RNA", at positions 244 to 2416 of the family's 2925-position model. The record is from RNAcentral. Lineage: Eukaryota; Dinophyceae; Suessiales; Symbiodiniaceae.